RNAcentral lists this ribosomal RNA (301 nucleotides) under uncultured bacterium. RNAcentral's name for it is "partial 16S ribosomal RNA". It matches the Rfam family "Bacterial small subunit ribosomal RNA", at positions 509 to 809 of the family's 1533-position model. The record is from RNAcentral.
CAGUAGCCGCGGUAAUACAGAGGGUGCGAGCGUUAAUCGGAUUUACUGGGCGUAAAGCGUGCGUAGGCGGCUUCUUAAGUCGGAUGUGAAAUCCCUGAGCUUAACUUAGGAAUUGCAUUCGAUACUGGGAAGCUAGAGUAUGGGAGAGGAUGGUAGAAUUCCAGGUGUAGCGGUGAAAUGCGUAGAGAUCUGGAGGAAUACCGAUGGCGAAGGCAGCCAUCUGGCCUAAUACUGACGCUGAGGUACGAAAGCAUGGGGAGCAAACAGGAUUAGAUACCCGCGUAGUCCAUGUCUCUUAUAA